Molecule: long non-coding RNA, 7483 nt
Filed under: Triticum aestivum (bread wheat)
Lineage: Eukaryota; Viridiplantae; Streptophyta; Magnoliopsida; Poales; Poaceae
Description: long non-coding RNA (TAES_LNC007746)
Source: RNAcentral
AAAUGAAGGAAAUAUGCCCUAGAGGCAAUAAUAAAGUUAUUAUUUAUUUCCUUAUUUCAUGAUAAAUGUUUAUCAUUCAUGCUAGAAUUGUAUUAACCGGAAACAUGAUACAUGUGUGAAUGCAUAAACAAACAACAUGUCACUAGUAUGCCUCUACUAGACUAGCUUGUUAAUCAAAGAUGGUUAUGUUUCCUGACCAUGAACAAAGAGUUGUUAUUUGAUUAACGAGGUCACAUCAUUAGUAGAAUGAUCUGAUUGACAUGACCCAUUCCAUUAGCUUAGCACACGAUCGUUUAGUAUGUUGCUACUGCUUUUAUCCAUGACUUAUACAUGUUCCUGUAACUAUGAGAUUAUGCAACUCCCGUUUACCGGAGGAACACUUUGGGUGCUACCAAACGUCACAACGUAACUGGGUGAUUAUAAAGGAGUACUACAGGUGUCUCCAAAGGCAGAUGUUGGGUUGGCGUAUUUCGAGAUUAGGUUUUGUCACUCCGAUUGUCGGAGAGGUAUCUCUGGGCCCUCUCGGUAAUGCACAUCACUAAAGCCUUGCAAGCAUUACAACUAAUGAGUUAGUUGUGAGAUGAUGUAUUACGGAACGAGUAAAGAGACUUGCCGGUAACGAGAUUGAACUAGGUAUUGGAUACCGACGAUCGAAUCUCGGGCAAGUAACAUACCGAUGACAAAGGGAACAACGUAUGUUGUUAUGCGGUCUGACCGAUAAAGAUCUUCGUAGAAUAUGUAGGAACCAAUAUGGGCAUCCAGGUCCCGCUGUUGGUUAUUGACCGGAGACGUGUCUCGGUCAUGUCUACAUUGUUCUCGAACCGUAGGGUCCGCACGCUUAAGGUUUCGAUGACAGUUAUUAUGAGUUUAUGUAUUUUGAUGUACCGAAGAAGUUCGGAGUCCCGGAUGUGAUCACGGACAUGACGAGGAGUCUCGAAAUGGUUGAGACAUAAAGAUUGAUAUAUUGGACGGCUAUAUUCGGACACCGGAAAGGUUCCGGAAGUUUCCGGAGAAAACCGGAGUGCCGGAGGGGUUACCGGAACCCCCCGGGGGAAGUUAUGGGCCUUAGUGGGCCAAGAGGGGAGAGAGAGGGGCCGCACCAGGAGGUGGCGCCCCCCCAGGGGAGUCCGAAUAGGACAAGGAGGGGGGGGCGCGGCCCCCCUUUCCCUCUCCCUCUCCCUCUCUUUCCUUCCCCCUUCUCCCUUCCUAGUUGGACUAGGAGAGGGGAGUCCUACUCUAACUAGGAGGAGGACUCCCCCCUCCCUUGGCGCGCCACUAGGGCCGGCCGGCCUCCCCCUUGCUCCUUUAUAUACGGGGGCAGGGGGGCACCCUAGGACACACAAGUUUGAUCUACGGAUCGUUCCUUAGCCGUGUGCGGUGCCCCCUUCCACCAUAUUCCACCUCGGUCAUAUCGUCGCGAAGCUUAGGCGAAGCUCUGCGCCGGUAGAACAUCAAGAUCGUCACCACGCCGUCGUGCUGACGGAACUCUCCCUCGACACUCGGCUGGAUCGGAGUACGAGGGACGUCAUCGAGCUGUACGUGUGUCAAGAACUCGGGGGUGCCGGAGUAACGGCGCCGGGAUCGGUCGGAUCGCGAGGAGAACGUACGACUACUUCCUCUACGUUGUGAUCGCUUCCGCUUCGGGUCUACGAGGGUACGUAGACAACACUCUCCCCUCUCGUUGCUAUGCAUCACCAUGAUCUUGCGUGUGCGUAGGAAAAUUUUGAAAUUACUACGUUCCCCAACAGUGGCAUCCGAGCCUAGGUUUUUAUGGUUUGAUGUUUUGCACGAGUAGAACACAAGUGAGUUGUGGGCGAUACAAGUCAUACUACCUACUAGCAUGUCAUACUUUGGUUCAGCGGUAUUGUGAGAUGAAGCGGCCCAGACCGACAUUACGCGUACGCUUACGCGAGACUGGUUUCACCGCUACGAGCACUCGUUGCUUAAAGGUGACUGGUGGGUGCCUGUCUCUCUCACUUUAGUUGAACCGAGUGUGGCUACGCCCGGUCCUUGAGAAGGUUAAAACGGAGUCUAUUUGACGAAGUAUCGUUGUGGUUUUGAUGCGUAGGUGAGACUGGUUCUUGCUUAAGCCCGUAGCAGCCACGUAAAAUUUGCAACAACAAAGUAGAGGACGUCUAACUUGUUUUUGCAGGGCAUGUUGUGAUGUGAUAUGGUCAAGACGUGAUGCUAUAUUUUUAUUGUAUGAGAUGAUCAUGUUUUGUAACCGAAGUUAUCGGCAACUGGCUGGAGCCAUAUGGUUGUCGCUUUAUUGUAUACAAUGCAAUCGCCCUGUAAUGCUUUACUUUAUCACUAAACGAUAGCGAUAGUCGUAGAAGCAUAAGAUUGGCGAGACGACAACGAUGCUACGAUGGAGAUCAAGGUGUCGCGCCGGUGACGAUGGUGAUCAUGGUGGUGCUGCAGAGAUGGAGAUCACGAAGCACAAGAUGAUGAUGACCAUAUCAUAUCACUUAUAUUGAUUUGCAUGUGAUGUUUAUCCUUUAUGCAUCUUAUCUUGCUUUGAUUGACGGUAGCAUUAUAAGAUGAUCUCUCACUAAAUUAUCAAGAAGUGUUCUCCCCGAGUAUGCACCGUUGCCAAAGUUCGUCGUGCCCAGACACCACGUGAUGAUCGGGUGUGAUAAGCUCUACGUCCAUCUACAACGGGUGCAAGCCAGUUUUGCACACGCAGAAUACUCGGGUUAUACUUGACGAGCCUAGCAUAUGCAGAUAUGGCCUCGGAACACGGAGACCGAAAGGUCGAGCGUGAAUCAUAUAGUAGAUAUGAUCAACAUAAGAUGUUCACCAUUGAAAACUACUCCAUUUCACGUGAUGAUCGGUUAUGGUUUAGUUGAUUUGGAUCACGUGAUCACUUAGAUGACUAGAGAGAUGUCUUUCUAAGUGGGAGUUCUUAAGUAAUAUGAUUAAUUGAACUUAAAUUUAUCAUGAACUUAGUACCUGAUAGUAUCUUGCUUGUUUAUGUUUGAUUGUAGAUAGAUGGCUCGUGCUGUUGUUCCGUUGAAUUUUAAUGCGUUCCUUGAGAAAGCAAAGUUGAAAGAUGAUGGUAGCAAUUACACGGACUGGGUCCGUAACCUGAGGAUUAUCCUCAUUGCUGCACAGAAGAGUUACGUCCUGGAUGCACCGCUGGGUGCCAGGCCUGCUGCUGAUGCAACUGACGACGUUAAGAACGUCUGGCAGAGCAAAGCUGAUGACUACUCUAUAGUUCAGUGUGCCAUGCUUUACGGCUUAGAACCGGGACUUCAACGACGUUUUGAACGUCAUGGAGCAUAUGAGAUGUUCCAGGAGUUGAAGUUAAUAUUCCAACAGAAUGCCCGGAUUGAGAGAUAUGAAGUCUCCAAUAAGUUCUAUAGCUGCAAGAUGGAGGAGAAUAGUUCUGUUAGUGAGCACAUACUCAGAAUGUCUGGGUACUACAAUCACUUGACACAAUUGGGAGUUAAUCUUCCAGAUGAUUGUGUCAUUGACAGAAUUCUUCAAUCACUGCCACCAAGCUACAAAGGCUUCGUGAUGAACUAUAAUAUGCAAGGGUUAGUAAAGACUAUACCUGAGCUCUUCGCAAUGCUAAAGGCUGCGGAGGUAGAAAUCAAGAAGGAGCAUCAAGUGUUGAUGGUCAAUAAGACCACUAGUUUCAAGAAGAAAGGCAAAGGGAAGAAGAAGGGGAACUUCAAGAAGAACAGCAAGCAAGUUGCUGCUCAGGAGAAGAAACCCAAGUCUGGACCUAAGCCUGAAACUGAGUGCUUCUACUGCAAGCAGACUGGUCACUGGAAGCGGAACUGCCCCAAGUAUUUGGCGGAUAAGAAGGAUGGCAAGGUGAACAAAGGUAUAUGUGAUAUACAUGUUAUUGAUGUGUACCUUACUAGAGCUCGCAGUAGCACCUGGGUAUUUGAUACUGGUUCUGUUGCUAAUAUUUGCAACUCGAAACAGGGACUACGGAUUAAGCGAACACUGGCAAAGGACGAGGUGACGAUGCGCGUGGGAAAUGGUUCCAAAGUCGAUGUGAUCGCGGUCGGCACGCUACCUCUACAUCUACCUUCGGGAUUAGUUUUAGACCUAAAUAAUUGUUAUUUGGUGCCUGCGUUGAGCAUGAACAUUAUAUCUGGAUCUUGUUUGAUGCGAGACGGUUAUUCAUUUAAAUCAGAGAAUAAUGGUUGUUCUAUUUAUAUGAGUAAUAUCUUUUAUGGUCAUGCACCCUUGAGGAGUGGUCUAUUUUUGAUGAAUCUCGAUAGUAGUGAUACACAUAUUCAUAAUGUUGAAGCCAAAAGAUGCAGAGUUGAUAAUGAUAGUGCAACUUAUUUGUGGCACUGCCGUUUAGGUCAUAUCGGUGUAAAGCGCAUGAAGAAACUCCGUACUGAUGGACUUUUGGAGUCACUUGAUUAUGAAUCACUUGGCACUUGCGAACCGUGCCUUAUGGGCAAGAUGACUAGAACCCCGUUCUCCGGUACUAUGGAGAGAGCAACAGAUUUGUUGGAAAUCAUACAUAUAGAUGUAUGUGGUCCGAUGAAUGUUGAGGCUCGUGGCGGAUAUCGUUAUUUUCUCACCUUCACAGAUGACUUAAGCAGAUAUGGGUAUAUCUACUUAAUGAAACAUAAGUCUGAAACAUUUGAAAAGUUCAAAGAAUUUCAGAGUGAAGUUGAAAAUCAUCGUAACAAGAAAAUUAAAUUUCUACGAUCUGAUCGUGGAGGUGAAUAUUUGAGUUACGAGUUUGGUCUACAUUUGAAACAAUGCGGAAUAGUUUCGCAACUCACGCCACCCGGAACACCACAGCGUAAUGGUGUGUCCGAACGUCGUAAUCGCACUUUACUAGAUAUGGUGCGAUCUAUGAUGUCUCUUACAGAUUUACCGCUAUCGUUUUGGGGUUAUGCUCUAGAGACGGCCGCAUUCACACUGAAUAGAACACCAUCGAAAUCCGUUGAGACGACACCUUAUGAACUGUGGUUUAGCAAGAAACCAAAGUUGUCGUUUCUUAAAGUUUGGGGAUGCGAUGCUUAUGUGAAAAAGCUUCAACCUGAUAAGCUCGAACCCAAAUCGGAGAAAUGUGUCUUCAUAGGAUACCCAAAGGAGACAGUUGGGUACACCUUCUAUCACAGAUCCGAAGGCAAGACAUUCGUUGCUAAGAAUGGAUCCUUUCUAGAGAAGGAAUUUCUCUCGAAAGAAGUGAGUGGAAGGAAAGUAGAACUUGAUGAGGUAAUAGUACCUUCUCCCUUACUUGAAAGUAGUUCGUCGCAGAAACCGGUUUCUGAGACAUCUACACCAAGUAGUGAGGAAGUUGAUGAUGUUGAUCAUGAAACUUCAGAUCAAGUUACUACAGAACCUCGUAGAUCAACCAGAGUAAGAUCUGCACCAGAGUGGUACGGUAAUCCUGUUCUGGAAAUCAUGCUACUAGAUCAUGAUGAACCUACGAACUAUGAAGAAGCGAUGGUGAGCCCAGAUUCCGCAAAAUGGCUUGAGGCCAUGAAAUCUGAGAUGGGAUCCAUGUAUGAAAACAAAGUAUGGACUUUGGUUGACUUGCCCGAGGGUAGGCAAGCAAUAGAAAACAAGUGGAUCUUCAAGAAGAAGACUGACGCUGACGGUAAUGUUACUGUCUACAAAGCUCGACUUGUCGCAAAGGGUUUUCGACAAGUUCAAGGGAUUGACUACGAUGAGACCUUCUCACCCGUAGCGAUGCUUAAGUCUGUCCGAAUCAUGUUAGCAAUUGCCGCAUUUUAUGAUUAUGAAAUUUGGCAAAUGGAUGUAAAGACUGCAUUCCUGAAUGGAUUUCUGGAAGAAGAGUUGUAUAUGAUGCAACCAGAAGGUUUUGUCGAUCCAAAAGGAGCUAACAAAGUAUGCAAGCUCCAGCGAUCCAUCUAUGGACUGGUGCAAGCAUCUCGGAGUUGGAAUAAACGCUUUGAUAGUGUGAUCAAAGCAUUUGGGUUUGUACAGACUUUUGGAGAAGCCUGUAUUUACAAGAAAGUGAGUGGGAGCUCUAUAGCAUUUCUGAUAUUAUAUGUAGAUGACAUAUUGCUGAUCGGAAAUGAUAUAGAAUUUCUGGAUAGCAUAAAGGGAUACUUGAAUAAGAGUUUUUCAAUGAAAGACCUCGGUGAAGCUGCUUACAUAUUGGGCAUUAAGAUCUAUAGAGAUAGAUCAAGACGCUUAAUUGGACUUUCACAAAGCACAUACCUUGACAAAAUUUUGAAGAAGUUCAAAAUGGAUCAAGCAAAGAAAGGGUUCUUGCCUGUGUUACAAGGUGUGAAGUUGAGUAAGACUCAAUGCCCGACCACUGCAGAAGAUAGAGAGAAAAUGAAAGAUGUUCCCUAUGCUUCAGCCAUAGGCUCUAUCAUGUAUGCAAUGUUGUGUACCAGACCUGAUGUGUGCCUUGCUAUAAGUUUAGCAGGGAGGUACCAAAGUAAUCCAGGAGUGGAUCACUGGACAGCGGUCAAGAACAUCCUGAAAUACCUGAAAAGGACUAAGGAUAUGUUUCUCGUAUAUGGAGGUGACAAAGAGCUCAUCGUAAACGGUUACGUUGAUGCAAGCUUUGACACUGAUCCGGACGAUUCUAAAUCGUAGACCGGAUACGUAUUUACACUAAACGGAGGAGCUGUCAGUUGGUGCAGUUCUAAACAAAGCGUCGUAGCGGGAUCUACAUGUGAAGCGGAGUACAUAGCAGCUUCGGAAGCAGCUAAUGAAGGAGUCUGGAUGAAGGAGUUCAUAUCCGAUCUAGGUGUCAUACCUAGUGCAUCGGGUCCAAUGAAAAUCUUCUGUGACAAUACUGGAGCAAUUGCCUUAGCGAAGGAAUCCAGAUUUCACAAGAGGACCAAGCACAUCAAGAGACGCUUCAAUUCCAUCCGGGACUUAGUCCAGGUGGGAGACAUAGAGAUUUGCAAGAUACAUACGGAUCUGAAUGUUGCAGACCCGUUGACUAAGCCUCUUCCACGAGCAAAACAUGAUCAGCACCAAGACUCCAUGGGUGUUAGAAUCAUUACUAUGUAAUCUAGAUUAUUGACUCUAGUGCACGUGGGAGACUGAAGGAAAUAUGCCCUAGAGGCAAUAAUAAAGUUAUUAUUUAUUUCCUUAUUUCAUGAUAAAUGUUUAUCAUUAAUGCUAGAAUUGUAUUAACCAGAAACAUGAUACAUGUGUGAAUGCAUAAACAAACAACAUGUCACUAGUAUGCCUCUACUAGACUAGCUUGUUAAUCAAAGAUGGUUAUGUUUCCUGACCAUGAACAAAGAGUUGUUAUUUGAUUAACGAGGUCACAUCAUUAGUAGAAUGAUCUGAUUGACAUGACCCAUUCCAUUAGCUUAGCACACGAUCGUUUAGUAUGUUGCUACUGCUUUUAUCCAUGACUUAUACAUGUUCCUGUAACUAUGAGAUUAUGCAACUCCCGUUUACCGGAGGAACACUUUGGGUGCUACCAAACGUCACAACGUAACUAGGUGAUUAUAAAGGAGUACUACAGGUGUCUCCAAAGGCAGAUGUUGGGUUGGCGUAUUUCGAG